RNAcentral lists this ribosomal RNA (527 nucleotides) under uncultured Actinomycetes bacterium. RNAcentral describes it as "bacterial SSU rRNA". It matches the Rfam family "Bacterial small subunit ribosomal RNA", at positions 8 to 522 of the family's 1533-position model. The record is from RNAcentral. Lineage: Bacteria; Bacillati; Actinomycetota; Actinomycetes.
AGAGUUUGAUCCUGGCUCAGGACGAACGCUGGCGGCGCGCUUAACACAUGCAAGUCGAGCGAGAACCGGUCCUUCGGGACCGGGGAAAGCGGCGAACGGGUGAGUAACACGUGAGUAAUCCACCCUCGGCACCGGGAUAGCCCGGGGAAACCCGGAUUAAUACCGGAUGGCCCAGCAGCUCUUCGGGGCGGCUGGAAAAGGUAGCUUUGGCCUCCGGCCGAGGACGAGCUCGCGGCGGAUUAGCUUGUUGGUGGGGUAACGGCCUACCAAGGCGACGAUCCGUAGCUGGUCUGAGAGGACGAUCAGCCACACUGGGACUGAGACACGGCCCAGACUCCUACGGGAGGCAGCAGUGGGGAAUCUUGCGCAAUGGGCGAAAGCCUGACGCAGCGACGCCGCGUGAGGGAAGAAGGCUUUCGGGUUGUAAACCUCUUUCAGGAGGGACGAAGCUACUCGGGUUAAUAGCCCAGAGGGUGACGGUACCUUCAGAAGAAGCCCCGGCUAACUACGUGCCAGCAGCCGCGGUA